This is a long non-coding RNA of Amphiprion ocellaris (clown anemonefish), 796 nucleotides long. The record is from Ensembl. Lineage: Eukaryota; Metazoa; Chordata; Actinopteri; Pomacentridae.
UUUUUUUUCAAAGAACACCUUUCUGGAGUGUUUUUCACGGCCUCUUUUACAUUAUUUCAUCAUAUGGCACUGUUACGGCUGUGGCCGUAUUUUGGUAAUGUUGUGUUUGUCGUUUUGAAUUGUUUUGUUGUCUGGGAGUGGGUGUUCUGUGUUUGUCUGUAGAUCUUUCUCUCGUCCUUGUUUUCUGUGUAAGUGGUCUGUUCGUCCUGUUGGUUUGUAGUGGGUGUUGUGUUUGUCUGUGGAUCUUUGUGUGCAGGAGCUGAUUGGUGGCAAGGCGGACCUAGCGCUGAUUGGCUGUCAACCAUUUUAAAUCUUGGCGGCAGGCAGUGAUGAGGGGAGCCUCUCUGACAGCAGCACCCUUUGUUUUUUCCCAGACUCCAGACUUUUGCCUUGAUACCCGUGUUUUUUGGUUAGAUUAAGAUAGUGUGUUUUUUGUUUGUUAGACUUGGGUUUAUUUUUGUAGAAGUUGUGGUUUUGUUGGAUAGGAUCUUUUGUUUGAGUGCUAAAAUGCCUCUUUAGUUUGUAUGCAAUUAUUUUGUGUUUUUUUGCUUGAAUGAAUAGCCCAUGUGGUGGCCUCUUUGAUUUGUAGAAGAUUGUAAAUAAACCUUUUGUAAUUUUUCAAGGGAACUGUUCAUCAUUUUUGGGGACUGGGAAAAUAUUCCACCUUAUUUUUUUUAUUUUUAAAAAAAAAACAAACAUUAUGCUGCGCACCUUCCCCCGAGACAGGUGCGUAACAGGCACGUUUUUACAACAUGUUGAAAAAUCGCAUUUUUUUUUCGACAUAGUAUAGUAAGGC